RNAcentral lists this unclassified non-coding RNA (278 nucleotides) under plant metagenome. RNAcentral describes it as "partial contains small subunit ribosomal RNA, internal transcribed spacer 1, and 5.8S ribosomal RNA". The stretch from base 1 to 53 matches the Rfam family "Eukaryotic small subunit ribosomal RNA", at positions 1779 to 1831 of the family's 1831-position model. The record is from RNAcentral.
GGAGUAAAAGUCGUAACAAGGUUUCCGUAGGUGAACCUGCGGAAGGAUCAUUAACGAGUUAGGGUCUUCUAGGCCCGACCUCCCAACCCUUUGUUUACUGAACCAUUGUUGCCUCGGUGGGUCCGUCUUACGACCGCCGGGGGAUCGCCGCGAGGCGCCCCCUGGCCAGCGCCCACCGAUAGCCCAACCUUUAAAACCCUUUGUGAAUCGUGUCUUAUGUCUAAAUUUAUGAUUAGACAAUCAAAACAAAACUUUCAACAACGGAUCUCUUGGUUCUG